ACAGCAGUCGCCGCGGUAAUACGGAGGGCGCGAGCGUUACCCGGAUUUACUGGGCGUAAAGGGCGUGUAGGCGGCCUGGGGCGUCCCAUGUGAAAGGCCACGGCUCAACCGUGGAGGAGCGUGGGAUACGCUCAGGCUAAAGGGUGGGAGAGGGUGGUGGAAUUCCCGGAGUAGCGGUGAAAUGCGCAGAUACCGGGAGGAACGCCGAUGGCGAAGGCAGCCACCUGGUCCACUUCUGACGCUGGGGCGCGAAAGCGUGGGGAGCAAACCGGAUUAGAGACCCCUGUAGUCCCUGUCUCUUAUAC
This 305-nucleotide ribosomal RNA is filed under the name uncultured bacterium. Its description in RNAcentral is "partial 16S ribosomal RNA". It matches the Rfam family "Bacterial small subunit ribosomal RNA", at positions 508 to 807 of the family's 1533-position model. The record is from RNAcentral.